Molecule: long non-coding RNA, 1631 nt
Organism: Prosopis cineraria
Lineage: Eukaryota; Viridiplantae; Streptophyta; Magnoliopsida; Fabales; Fabaceae
Exons: 2
Source: RefSeq, a predicted model, not a curated record
UCAGCCCAAAAGGCAUUUAUAACAGAAAUGAAUUAUUCAUUAUCAGUUUCUUCACAUGGCAUCCGAGUUGGGUCCAUAUUAUUGACCCAUAUGUUUACCUCAAUCCCUCCUUUUCAUCCGUGCCCUAACUCUCACAUCGCGUUCUUGCUCACAUCACGUUCUUGACUUUUUGGCCAUCAUCUUCCUCCUCGCUUCUCCAUUGAUCUUCAACCAUCACCAUGACUGAUUUAGAUUCUUCUUCCAAUCAAUCCUUCACUUCCGUUCUUGACCUCAAUCAUCCUCUCUACCUUCAUCCCUCAGAUACUCAAGCUAUCACGCUCAUCGCUCAACCACUCACCGGCACUACCAACUACGGGAUAUGGAGUCGAGCUAUGCGGAUGGCUUUACAAGCGAAGAAUAAAAUCAGCCUAGUUGACGGAUCUUGCAGACGAGAUGCUCAGGCUGAGAAUCUCCGAGCUCAAUAGGACCGUUGUAAUGCAGUAGUUCUCUCUUGGUACUUUACCAAACUCAAGGAACUAUGGGAGGAGUAUGCCACUGUCGUACAUAUACCCACUUGUAAAAGCACCUCAUCAGUAGAAUACGCCAAGAACAUCCAAUAACAAUUUUUUUUUUAGUUUUGAUGGGGCUCAAUGAUUCUGAUCAACCCGUUCGCAGUCAGAUUCUUCUCAUGACUCCACUACUAUCAGUGAAUCAGGCCCAUGCAAUAAUCUCGCAAGAAGAAUCUUAGCGUUCUUUAACAUCGUCUUCUCAACCAUCUGAUUAUUCUGCCAUGGCAACUCGAGGCAAAGGAAGAUUUGGUAGGGGACGUGCUCGAAGUGAUAUUCCUAAUGAAUGCACUUAUUGUCGUAAAAGAGGACACACCAAGGACUCUUGCUAUCAUCUUGUUGGAAAAGAGGACACACCAAGGACUCUUGCUAUCAUCUUGUUGGUUUUCCAUCAAACUAUCAAGGAAGUAGAAAUUGUGGCAACCCAUAUAAACAAGAAACUCACAACGACGCUCUUGCUUCUCUUAAUGUGUCAGGACAACAGUGUGACUCAUCCACCAAACAAAAAAUGCUAUCUCUGAAGGAUUAUGAACGAAUCAUUGAGAAUCUGAAAAAGGAAAUUAAGACACUUUCACUAACAAAUACAAAAUCUGUUGGAACAGGAACUGUAAAGGACUCAGAGGAAUCUUCAAGUUUGAUUCCCACUACUUUAUCCUCCACACAUGAAUUACGUGCAUGCUGGAUUUUAGACUCAAGAGCAACUUGUCGUGUUGUGAGUAAUCUGUUUUACCUUGAUCACUAUCAAAAGUAUGUUGGAUCCCCUCUUCAUAUUGAAAUUCCUAAUUCAGCUAGAUUGCCUGUCACACAUGUUGGUGUUGUAGAUUAUUCUAUGAUGUUGUAUUAAACAAUGUUCUAUAUGCCUCAGGAAUUUGCUAUGAUUUAAUUUCUAUGUCUUGUCUUACAGAUGAAAAAGUGUCUUGUGGCUUUCUUUCCUAAUAUUUGUGUCUUACAGGGGCUCUACAGUGGUAGUAUGAAAGUGAUUAGUAGAAUCUAUUCUGGAUUGUAUAUUGUGGAUGAAAGCUCUCCCCUGUCUAAUGUUUUUCUACUAAACUAGCUAUCGAUAAUAUUAUUUGGCAUUUAAGAUUA